RNAcentral lists this ribosomal RNA (648 nucleotides) under Onychodactylus japonicus (Japanese clawed salamander). RNAcentral describes it as "partial 12S ribosomal RNA". It matches the Rfam family "Bacterial small subunit ribosomal RNA", at positions 620 to 1523 of the family's 1533-position model. Lineage: Eukaryota; Metazoa; Chordata; Amphibia; Caudata; Hynobiidae. The record is from RNAcentral.
ACGGCCCAAAGCGUGAUUAAAUUAUAUUAAACCUAAUAGAAAUGAAAAUUAACUUAACUGUCGUACGUAACCGUUAAACGUAAAACCAAAAACGAAAGUUAUUCUAAUAAAAAAAUUACUUGAAACCACGACCGCUAAGAAACAAACUAGGAUUAGAUACCCUACUAUGCUUAGCUUUAAACUUUGAUAUUUCCGCCAGAUUACUACGAGCCACAGCUUAAAACUCAAAGGACUUGGCGGUGCUCUACACCCCCCUAGAGGAGCCUGUUCUAUAAUCGAUAAUCCUCGCUAAACCUUACCACCUAUUGCCAAUACCGCCUAUAUACCACCGUCCUCAGCUUACCCUUUAAAGGCUAAACAGUAAGCAUAAUAAUAAACAUAAAAACGUCAGGUCAAGGUGUAGCGAAUUAAGUGGAAAGAAAUGGGCUACAUUUUCUUAUAAGAAAAUACAAAAGGUAAAAUGAAAUAUUACCUGAAGGUGGAUUUAGCAGUAAAAAGAAAAUAGAGUGUUCUUUUUAAAUUGGCCCUAGAGCGCGCACACACCGCCCGUCACCCUCAUCAAAAAUACGAAAAGAAAAUAACAUAAAAUUUUUUGAAGAAGAGGAAAGUCGUAACAUGGUAAGUAUACUGGAAAGUGUACUUGGAUAA